GAUGAACGCUAGCGAUAGGCUUAACACAUGCAAGUCGAGGGGCAGCAUGGUCUUAGCUUGCUAAGACUGAUGGCGACCGGCGCACGGGUGCGUAACGCGUAUGCAACUUGCCUCACAGAGGGGGAUAACCCGUCGAAAGACGGACUAAUACCGCGUACACUUGGGAUAGGGCAUCCUGACCCAAGGAAAUGAAAUUCGCUGUGAGAUAGGCAUGCGUCCCAUUAGCUAGUUGGUGAGGUAACGGCUCACCAAGGCGACGAUGGGUAGGGGAACUGAGAGGUUGAACCCCCACACUGGUACUGAGACACGGACCAGACUCCUACGGGAGGCAGCAGUGAGGAAGAUUGGUCAAUGGGCGAGAGCCUGAACCAGCCAAGUCGCGUGAAGGAUGACUGUCUUAUGGAUGGUAAACUUCUUUUAGACGGGAAUAACAAGAGUCACGUGUGGCUCCCUGCAUGUACCGUAUGAAUAAGCAUCGGCUAACUCCGUG
This 490-nucleotide ribosomal RNA is filed under the name uncultured bacterium. Its description in RNAcentral is "partial 16S ribosomal RNA". It matches the Rfam family "Bacterial small subunit ribosomal RNA", at positions 28 to 507 of the family's 1533-position model. The record is from RNAcentral.